AUUGAACGCUGGCGGAAUGCUUUACACAUGCAAGUCGAACGGCAGCACGGGUGCUUGCACCUGGUGGCGAGUGGCGAACGGGUGAGUAAUGCACCGGAACGUAUCCAAUAAUGGGGGAUAACGCACCGAAAGGUGUGCUAAUACCGCAUACGCCCUGAGGGGGAAAGCGGGGGAUCGUAAGACCUCGCGUUAAUGGAGCGGCCGAUGCCGGAUUAGCUAGUUGGUGAGGUAAAGGCUCACCAAGGCGACGAUCCGUAGCUGGUCUGAGAGGACGACCAGCCACACUGGAACUGAGACACGGUCAAGACUCCUACGGGAGGCAGCAGUGGGGAAUUUUGGACAAUGGGCGCAAGCCUGAUCCAGCCAUUCCGCGUGAGUGAAGAAGGCCU
RNAcentral lists this ribosomal RNA (389 nucleotides) under uncultured bacterium. Its description in RNAcentral is "bacterial SSU rRNA". It matches the Rfam family "Bacterial small subunit ribosomal RNA", at positions 30 to 417 of the family's 1533-position model. The record is from RNAcentral.